RNAcentral lists this small nuclear RNA (64 nucleotides) under Canis lupus familiaris (dog). Its description in RNAcentral is "U4 spliceosomal RNA". It matches the Rfam family "U4 spliceosomal RNA", at positions 1 to 64 of the family's 138-position model. From Rfam's summary of the family: U4 small nuclear RNA (U4 snRNA) is a component of the major U2-dependent spliceosome. RNAcentral also lists the same sequence under 1 other name. The record is from Rfam by way of RNAcentral. Lineage: Eukaryota; Metazoa; Chordata; Mammalia; Carnivora; Canidae.
AGCUUUGCACAGUGGCAGUAUUGUAGCCAAUGAGGUUUAUCCAAGGCGCAUUUAUUGCUAAUUA